GACGAAGAUGAAGAGAGCUUCUAUAUUCUGACACCUCUUGUAUGAGGCGAUUCUUCACAGUUUCGUCAAUGAGCACAUGAAGCAACUCUCUGAGUC
Molecule: small nucleolar RNA, 96 nt
Organism: Lotus japonicus
Lineage: Eukaryota; Viridiplantae; Streptophyta; Magnoliopsida; Fabales; Fabaceae
Product: small nucleolar RNA snoR1
Exons: 1
Source: RefSeq, a predicted model, not a curated record